This 74-nucleotide transfer RNA is filed under the name Candidatus Symbiobacter mobilis CR. It matches the Rfam family "tRNA". Rfam says of the family: Transfer RNA (tRNA) molecules are approximately 80 nucleotides in length. Their secondary structure includes four short double-helical elements and three loops (D, anti-codon, and T loops). The record is from Rfam by way of RNAcentral. Lineage: Bacteria; Pseudomonadati; Pseudomonadota; Betaproteobacteria; Burkholderiales; Comamonadaceae.
CGGGGUGUGGCGCAGCUUGGUAGCGCAUCUGGUUUGGGACCAGAGGGUCGAAGGUUCGAAUCCUUUCGCCCCGA